Molecule: long non-coding RNA, 954 nt
Organism: Megalobrama amblycephala (Wuchang bream)
Lineage: Eukaryota; Metazoa; Chordata; Actinopteri; Cypriniformes; Xenocyprididae
Exons: 3
Source: RefSeq, a predicted model, not a curated record
GGUAAACUUCAGACUAAUAUUGUGUGCUGAACAUAAACAUGUUGAUCUGAUGGAGGAAUUUACUUUCAAUGGCUGCAGUAAUUGAGUGCAGCACACAAGAUUAAUCAGCCAACAAGAGUUCAAACAGCGUCUGAACAUGACGUGGUCACACUUCACUGCACUUACAGCACCAGUGACCAAUACCCUUAUCUUUACUGGUACCAGCAGAAAACCAAUGGAUUCCCAGUUUACAAGCAGUGGGUGGAGCUGAUUCACACUGUUGAGAGUGUGAGAGAGUCAAACAGUUAUCCAAAUACUAUUUUUGCCAUCACUGUCUGUCUGAAGACAUCAUGUUUCUCUUUACCUGGAUAAUAUUGCAACUUUGCAUGGGAAUUUCUUUUGGUGAUACAGUACAACCACUGUUUUCAGAAAAACAUGAUUUUGAGGGUGAAAAUGUGACUCUCUCCUGUAACUACAGUCUCACUAGUGGCAGUAGUGUUACUCUCCACUGGUAUCGUCAGUAUCUCAGAGGAAAACCUGAAUUUUUACUUCAUGUUAAUGAAUAUUCAACCACAUCUGAACCUGAUCUUCGUCUGUUUUCAAAAGCUUCAAAAGAGAUCAAACGUGUGGAUCUGAUCAUCUCCUCUGCUGCAGUAUCAGACUCUGCUCUGUAUUACUGCGCUCUGAAACACAAGAACACUGUAGAAAAACAUUUCCUUAUCUUAAUUAGUGAAAGAAGAAAGAUACACAAAGACUAAGAGAACUGUGAUUAAUAUGCAUUAUGUAGAACAGGUAAAUAAUUUGAUAAAUAUCUAAUGAGGUGCAGAACUGAUAAAAGUGAAUAGAUAAACAAGUAAAAUCAAUGUGACAUUGAAUAGUGUAUUAAGUGUUCUAAUAUUUUUAAUUAUAUCAAAUCCAUACAAAAGUUAUGUUUCAAAGCAUUAUUAUGUGUAACACAUUGGCCCGGUUUCACAG